Cordylochernes scorpioides is the source of this 71-nucleotide non-coding RNA. NCBI's taxonomy places the organism in Eukaryota, Metazoa, Arthropoda, Arachnida, Pseudoscorpiones, Chernetidae. The record is from the annotation of a GenBank genome assembly.
UUUUAGCCUAGUGGACAUGGCAUCUGCCCGGUAAGCGGAACACUGUGGGUUCGAUUCCCAUCCCUGGACAC